GACGAACGCUGGCGGCGUGCUUAACACAUGCAAGUCGAACGGAAAGGCCCUGCUUUUGUGGGGUGCUCGAGUGGCGAACGGGUGAGUAACACGUGAGUAACCUGCCCUUGACUUUGGGAUAACUUCAGGAAACUGGGGCUAAUACCGGAUAGGAGCUCCUGCUGCAUGGUGGGGGUUGGAAAGUUUCGGCGGUUGGGGAUGGACUCGCGGCUUAUCAGCUUGUUGGUGGGGUAGUGGCUUACCAAGGCUUUGACGGGUAGCCGGCCUGAGAGGGUGAGCGGCCACAUUGGGACUGAGAUACGGCCCAGACUCCUACGGGAGGCAGCAGUGGGGAAUAUUGCACAAUGGGCGGAAGCCUGAUGCAGCAACGCCGCGUGCGGGAUGACGGCCUUCGGGUUGUAAACCGCUUUCGCCUGUGACGAAGCGUGAGUGACGGUAAUGGGUAAAGAAGCACCGGCUAACUACGUG
RNAcentral lists this ribosomal RNA (468 nucleotides) under uncultured bacterium. RNAcentral's name for it is "partial 16S ribosomal RNA". It matches the Rfam family "Bacterial small subunit ribosomal RNA", at positions 28 to 507 of the family's 1533-position model. The record is from RNAcentral.